GCCUCAAUUGUCUGUCAACAUAAACCCUAAACCCUAACACGAAUUUUUUCUUCGAUUAAUCCCGAAAUCCAAAAAUGUUUGCUGCUGCGAUUUCCAAGCACAAAACCCAUUUGAGGGUUUCAACAUUCUUACGCCACUAUUACUGUUCCAGUUGCCGCAGACCUUUUUCAUUUACCACUCUGCAGGGGUUCAGAAAAAUCCAUCUUGUUAAUUCUGUUAAAUCCAUCCCAAUAGGAGCCUUCUGGAUUUGGCCGUUCUUCCAAAUUCUGAGUUAUUAUGUUUCUAGUCAUCGUUCAAUUGCAACACAAACUUCUCCUUCUCAUGAUAUGCAUGAUGGAAUUUUGAAUGAAAUACUUUCCGAGUUGGAGAACUCUGCAAUUUCUUGUGAGAAAAUAUGUAUCUCCAAGAUUGAUAAGCUAUGUAGUGCUGGAGACCUUACAACUGCUGCUAGACUAUUGCGGUCUUUACAUGAGCAACGAAUCUUUCUUGGCCCUCGUGCAUAUAAUAUUCUUCUUCAAGCAGCAGGUGAACAAGAUGACACUGAUAUUCUAUUACACACUUUCAAGGAUUUAUUGGUAUUCUGUAAUUCUAUUAAGUCGGCUUCCUGUCAGAUCCUUGCCAAGGCUCUGGUUAAGAAAAGUGAUGGUGUUUUCUUGAUGAAAUUUGUCAGAGAAGUUUCAGAAUUGAUGAUUCCAAUAAGUGCAAUCGCUUUGAACAGGAUCAUAUUUGCCUUUGGUGAGUUUAGACAGGUUGAUAAAGCUCUGAUAACAUUCGAGGAAAUGAAGAAUCUGAAGCGUAAACCAGAUUUGGUUACAUAUAACACUAUUUUAGUGAUAUUGGGCCAGUGUGGUCGGGUAGAUGAUAUGCUUCAUAAGUUUGCUGAAAUGAAAGAGGCCAAUAUUGCUCCAGAUACUAUUUCUUAUAAUACCAUUAUAAAUUGUUUACGCAAAGUCGGUAGGCUUGAUUUAUGCUCAACAUUUUUUAAAGAAAUGGGUGAAAGAGGAGUUCAACCUGAUUUGCAAACAUACACACCAUUGAUUGACAACUUUGGAAGGUCUGGGAACAUUGAGGAAGCACUGAGACUUUUUGAUGAGAUGAAGCACCGAAGAAUUCGCCCAUCGAUUUAUGUCUAUCGUUCGCUAAUUAGUAACUUAAACAAGAUGGGGAAGUUGAAGUUAGCUACAAAAUUUUCAAACGAGAUGGAUGCAUGUCUUUCAGGUCUUGUUGGUCCAAAGGACUUCAAAAGGAAAAAUAGAUAAAUGAACUCAAAAGAGUUGAUGUUUGGUUUCUUUUUGACUCUGCAAUCUCAGAGAAACCAUUUUGCUAAACUCUGCAUCUUUGUUGGAUAUCGUGGGUCAAAAGGCAUUAUACGGUCAGAAAAUCUGGGCUUACAUGACUUACAGCUGGUUGUAUCUGUCCGCUUGCUAAAUGUUUCAUUGGCUAGUAGGAUACUCGAGCAAUUUUGACGAUUGUAAUGGACCUCAUAGCCUUUGGAUUACCAACCGUUGCUGUGCUGUGAACAAGAUCUCGAGUAAAGAUGCUGCAUGGUUAUCCUCAAAUGAUAAACUAGUGUUGGGGAUCAUGGCCGCACUGGUACCAUUGAUCUCCUUGGUACAAUUUUGUGUGUCUGCUAAGCUGUUAGAUAUGCAGGCAUAUGUAGAUUGAUUCUGAAGAUGUACGUAAAGUUUGUACGCUUCCAUAUCUCUGGUGGCUGGUGACUUGUGCUUUGAUAAUUUGGUUAUAGGUAUAGAAGCUUAAAGUAAAUGUGCUCAUUUGUAAUUGUUAUUUUCUCAUUAUUUGUCUUUGUAGA
RNA transcript from Coffea eugenioides, 1810 nucleotides. It is a transcript of the gene named pentatricopeptide repeat-containing protein At1g11900, with no coding region annotated. The record is from RefSeq and is a predicted model, not a curated record. The transcript is spliced from 3 exons. Lineage: Eukaryota; Viridiplantae; Streptophyta; Magnoliopsida; Gentianales; Rubiaceae.